Molecule: ribosomal RNA, 768 nt
Filed under: uncultured bacterium
Lineage: Bacteria
Description: bacterial SSU rRNA
Rfam family: Bacterial small subunit ribosomal RNA
Source: RNAcentral
GACGAACGCUGGCGGCGUGCCUAAUACAUGCAAGUCGAGCGAAGUUUUUCUGGUGCUUGCACCGGAAAAACUUAGCGGCGAACGGGUGAGUAACACGUAAAGAACCUGCCUCAUAGACUGGGACAACUAUUGGAAACGAUAGCUAAUACCGGAUAAUAGCAUUAACUGCAUGGUUGAUGUUUAAAAGUUGGUUUUGCUAACACUAUGAGAUGGCUUUGCGGUGCAUUAGCUAGUUGGUGGGGUAAAGGCCUACCAAGGCGACGAUGCAUAGCCGACCUGAGAGGGUGAUCGGCCACACUGGGACUGAGACACGGCCCAGACUCCUACGGGAGGCAGCAGUAGGGAAUCUUCCGCAAUGGGCGAAAGCCUGACGGAGCAACGCCGCGUGAGUGAAGAAGGAUUUCGGUUCGUAAAGCUCUGUUGUUAGGGAAGAAUGAUUGUGUAGUAACUAUACACAGUAGAGACGGUACCUAACCAGAAAGCCACGGCUAACUACGUGCCAGCAGCCGCGGUAAUACGUAGGUGGCAAGCGUUGUCCGGAAUUAUUGGGCGUAAAGCGCGCGCAGGUGGUUUAAUAAGUCUGAUGUGAAAGCCCACGGCUCAACCGUGGAGGGUCAUUGGAAACUGUUAAACUUGAGUGCAGGAGAGAAAAGUGGAAUUCCUAGUGUAGCGGUGAAAUGCGUAGAGAUUAGGAGGAACACCAGUGGCGAAGGCGGCUUUUUGGCCUGUAACUGACACUGAGGCGCGAAAGCGUGGGGAGCAAACAGG